GGGUUGUGAGGUUAAGCGACUAAGCGUACACGGUGGAUGCCCUGGCAGUCAGAGGCGAUGAAGGGCGUGCUAAUCUGCGAUAAGCGCCGGUAAGGUGAUAUGAACCGUUAUAACCGGCGAUACCCGAAUGGGGAAACCCAGUGUGACUCGUCACACUAUCAUUAACUGAAUCCAUAGGUUAAUGAGGCGAACCGGGGGAACUGAAACAUCUAAGUACCCCGAGGAAAAGAAAUCAACCGAGAUUCCCCCAGUAGCGGCGAGCGAACGGGGAGGAGCCCAGAGCCUGAAUCAGCAUGUGUGUUAGUGGAAGCGUCUGGAAAGGCGCGCGAUACAGGGUGACAGCCCCGUACACAAAAGCGCAUGUGCUGUGAGCUCGAUGAGUAGGGCGGGACACGUGGUAUCCUGUCUGAAUAUGGGGGGACCAUCCUCCAAGGCUAAAUACUCCUGACUGACCGAUAGUGAACCAGUACCGUGAGGGAAAGGCGAAAAGAACCCCGGCGAGGGGAGUGAAAAAGAACCUGAAACCGUGUACGUACAAGCAGUGGGAGCACCCUUUGGGUGUGACUGCGUACCUUUUGUAUAAUGGGUCAGCGACUUAUAUUCUGUAGCAAGGUUAACCGAAUAGGGGAGCCGGAGGGAAACCGAGUCUUAAUUGGGCGUUAAGUUGCAGGGUAUAGACCCGAAACCCGGUGAUCUAGCCAUGGGCAGGUUGAAGGUUGGGUAACACUAACUGGAGGACCGAACCGACUAAUGUUGAAAAAUUAGCGGAUGACCUGUGGCUGGGGGUGAAAGGCCAAUCAAACCGGGAGAUAGCUGGUUCUCCCCGAAAGCUAUUUAGGUAGCGCCUCGUGAAUUCAUCUCCGGGGGUAGAGCACUGUUUCGGCUAGGGGGCCAUCCCGGCUUACCAACCCGAUGCAAACUGCGAAUACCGGAGAAUGUUAUCACGGGAGACACACGGCGGGUGCUAACGUCCGUCGUGAAGAGGGAAACAACCCAGACCGCCAGCUAAGGUCCCAAAGUCAUGGUUAAGUGGGAAACGAUGUGGGAAGGCCCAGACAGCCAGGAUGUUGGCUUAGAAGCAGCCAUCAUUUAAAGAAAGCGUAAUAGCUCACUGGUCGAGUCGGCCUGCGCGGAAGAUGUAACGGGGCUAAACCAUGCACCGAAGCUGCGGCAGCGACACUGUGUGUUGUUGGGUAGGGGAGCGUUCUGUAAGCCUGCGAAGGUGGCCUGUGAGGGUUGCUGGAGGUAUCAGAAGUGCGAAUGCUGACAUAAGUAACGAUAAAGCGGGUGAAAAGCCCGCUCGCCGGAAGACCAAGGGUUCCUGUCCAACGUUAAUCGGGGCAGGGUGAGUCGACCCCUAAGGCGAGGCCGAAAGGCGUAGUCGAUGGGAAACGGGUUAAUAUUCCCGUACUUGGUGUUACUGCGAAGGGGGGACGGAGAAGGCUAUGUUGGCCGGGCGACGGUUGUCCCGGUUUAAGCGUGUAGGCUGGUUUUCCAGGCAAAUCCGGAAAAUCAAGGCUGAGGCGUGAUGACGAGGCACUACGGUGCUGAAGCAACAAAUGCCCUGCUUCCAGGAAAAGCCUCUAAGCAUCAGGUAACAUCAAAUCGUACCCCAAACCGACACAGGUGGUCAGGUAGAGAAUACCAAGGCGCUUGAGAGAACUCGGGUGAAGGAACUAGGCAAAAUGGUGCCGUAACUUCGGGAGAAGGCACGCUGACACGUAGGUGAAGUGAUUUACUCAUGGAGCUGAAGUCAGUCGAAGAUACCAGCUGGCUGCAACUGUUUAUUAAAAACACAGCACUGUGCAAACACGAAAGUGGACGUAUACGGUGUGACGCCUGCCCGGUGCCGGAAGGUUAAUUGAUGGGGUCAGCGCAAGCGAAGCUCCUGAUCGAAGCCCCGGUAAACGGCGGCCGUAACUAUAACGGUCCUAAGGUAGCGAAAUUCCUUGUCGGGUAAGUUCCGACCUGCACGAAUGGCGUAAUGAUGGCCAGGCUGUCUCCACCCGAGACUCAGUGAAAUUGAACUCGCUGUGAAGAUGCAGUGUACCCGCGGCAAGACGGAAAGACCCCGUGAACCUUUACUAUAGCUUGACACUGAACAUUGAGCCUUGAUGUGUAGGAUAGGUGGGAGGCUUUGAAGUGUGGACGCCAGUCUGCAUGGAGCCGACCUUGAAAUACCACCCUUUAAUGUUUGAUGUUCUAACGUGGACCCGUUACCCGGGUUGCGGACAGUGUCUGGUGGGUAGUUUGACUGGGGCGGUCUCCUCCUAAAGAGUAACGGAGGAGCACGAAGGUUGGCUAAUCCUGGUCGGACAUCAGGAGGUUAGUGCAAUGGCAUAAGCCAGCUUGACUGCGAGCGUGACGGCGCGAGCAGGUGCGAAAGCAGGUCAUAGUGAUCCGGUGGUUCUGAAUGGAAGGGCCAUCGCUCAACGGAUAAAAGGUACUCCGGGGAUAACAGGCUGAUACCGCCCAAGAGUUCAUAUCGACGGCGGUGUUUGGCACCUCGAUGUCGGCUCAUCACAUCCUGGGGCUGAAGUAGGUCCCAAGGGUAUGGCUGUUCGCCAUUUAAAGUGGUACGCGAGCUGGGUUUAGAACGUCGUGAGACAGUUCGGUCCCUAUCUGCCGUGGGCGCUGGAGAACUGAGGGGGGCUGCUCCUAGUACGAGAGGACCGGAGUGGACGCAUCACUGGUGUUCGGGUUGUCAUGCCAAUGGCACUGCCCGGUAGCUAAAUGCGGAAGAGAUAAGUGCUGAAAGCAUCUAAGCACGAAACUUGCCCCGA
RNAcentral lists this ribosomal RNA (2783 nucleotides) under Salmonella enterica subsp. enterica serovar Enteritidis. Its description in RNAcentral is "partial 23S ribosomal RNA". It matches the Rfam family "Bacterial large subunit ribosomal RNA". The record is from RNAcentral. Lineage: Bacteria; Pseudomonadati; Pseudomonadota; Gammaproteobacteria; Enterobacterales; Enterobacteriaceae.